AGUAGGGAAUAUUGCACAAUGGGCGAAAGCCUGAUGCAGCAACGCCGCGUGCGCGAAGAAGGCCUUCGGGUUGUAAAGCGCUUUUCUGGAGGAAGAGAAAGGACGGUACUCCAGGAAUAAGGAUCGGCUAACUACGUGCCAGCAGCCGCGGUAACACGUAGGAUCCGAGCGUUAUCCGAAUUUACUGGGCGUAAAGCGCGUGUAGGCGGCCGGGUAAGUUGGACGUGAAAGCUCCUGGCUCAACUAGGAGAGGUCGUUCAAAACUGCCUGGCUAGAGGGCGACAGAGGGAGGUGGAAUUCCCGGUGUAGUGGUGAAAUGCGUAGAUAUCGGGAGGAACACCAGUGGCGAAGGCGGCCUCCUGGGUCGCCCCUGACGCUCAGACGCGAAAGCUAGGGGAGCAAACGGGAUUAGAUACCCCGGUAGUCCUAGCUGUAAACGAUGUGGACUUGGCGUUGGUGGGGUCAAAUCCAUCAGUGCCGUAGCUAACGCGAUAAGUCCACCGCCUGGGGACUACGGUCGCAAGGCUAAAACUCAAAGGAAUUGGCGGGGGCCCGCACAAGCAGCGGAGCGUGUGGUUUAAUUCGAUGCUACACGAAGAACCUUACCCGGGUUUGACAUCCAGGUGGUAGGGAACCGAAAGGCGACCGACCCUUCGGGGAGCCUGGACAGGUGCUGCAUGGCUGUCGUCAGCUCGUGUCGUGAGAUGUCCGGUUAAGUCCGGUAACGAGCGCAACCCUUGCUGUAUGUUAUACGUGUCAUACAGGACUGCCGGUUUAGUGCCGGAGGAAGGCGGGGAUGACGUCAAGUCAGCAUGGCCUUUAUAUCCGGGGCUACACACACGCUACAAUGGCCAGUACAACAGGUUGCAAAACCGCGAGGUGGAGCCAAUCCCCAAAACUGGUCUCAGUUCAGAUUGCAGGCUGCAACUCGCCUGCAUGAAGUCGGAGUUGCUAGUAACCGCGCGUCAGCUAUAGUGCGGUGAAUACGUUCUCGGGCCUUGCACACACCGCCCGUCACGUCAUGGAAGCUGACAACACCUGAAGCCGGUAUCCUAACCGCAAGGAUGGAGCCGUCGAAGGUGGGGUUGGUGACUGGGACG
RNAcentral lists this ribosomal RNA (1100 nucleotides) under uncultured bacterium. Its description in RNAcentral is "bacterial SSU rRNA". It matches the Rfam family "Bacterial small subunit ribosomal RNA", at positions 353 to 1482 of the family's 1533-position model. The record is from RNAcentral.